GACGGUAUUUAAUGAAUAAGCCCCGGCUAACUAUGUGCCAGCAGCUGCGGUAAUACAUGGGGGGCAAGCGUUAUCCGGAUUUAUUGGGCGUAAAGGGUGCGUAGGCGGUUAAAUAAGUCUAUGGUAUAAGUUCAACGCUUAACGUUGUGAUGCUAUAGAAACUGUUUGACUAGAGUUGGAUAGAGGCAAGUGGAAUUCCAUGUGUAGCGGUAAAAUGCGUAAAUAUAUGGAGGAACACCAGUAGCGAAGGCGGCUUGCUGGGUCUUAACUGACGCUGAGGCACGAAAGCGUGGGGAGCAAACAGGAUUAGAUACCCUGGUAGUCCACGCCGUAAACGAUGAGUACUAAGUGUUGGGUUAAACCAGUGCUGAAGUUAACACAUUAAGUACUCCGCCUGAGUAGUACGUACGCAAGUAUGAAACUUAAAGGAAUUGACGGGACUCCGCACAAGCGGUGGAUCAUGUUGUUUAAUUCGAAGAUACACGAAAAACCUUACCAGGUCUUGACAUACUCUGCAAAGCUAUAGAAAUAUAGUGGAGGUUAUCAGGGAUACAGGUGGUGCAUGGUUGUCGUCAGCUCGUGUCGUGAGAUGUUGGGUUAAGUCCCGCAACGAGCGCAACCCUUAUCACUAGUUACCAUCAUUUAGUUGGGCACUUUAGUGAGACUGCCAAUGAUAAAUUGGAGGAAGGUGGGGAUUACGUCAAAUCAUCAUGCCCCU
This 718-nucleotide ribosomal RNA is filed under the name Candidatus Phytoplasma prunorum. Its description in RNAcentral is "bacterial SSU rRNA". It matches the Rfam family "Bacterial small subunit ribosomal RNA", at positions 471 to 1202 of the family's 1533-position model. Lineage: Bacteria; Bacillati; Mycoplasmatota; Mollicutes; Acholeplasmatales; Acholeplasmataceae. The record is from RNAcentral.